GUCCCAUACACCUACUAUUGUGGCUGACAUCCAAUAAGUGUUCAUUGAACAUAUGUUAGAGUAAUAAAUAUGACAGCACAGGUUCAGUUUUCAUUUUUACCUUUCUGAUUACUCUUUUAUUUGUUUUUAUUUUUUUCUCCUGGUAACUCUUUUAAAAUAUUGUCUUUACCUCUACAUCCAAGCUGUUAACACACAACGUUUUCAAGUUUGAAAAAGAAACACAUACUUGUUGGACAUCAAACCUUGAGCAUAUCCAAGGUUCCAGGACAGCCACAGGUUCAGCUUUAUUUUCUUCUCAGAUUUCACUAUCUCUUGCUCAAACUUCACUGAGAUCUUUACUUUUUAUCUCCUGUCACAGAUAUGUUUUUCUACAACUAUUUUUGCCACUUUCUUUGAAUAGCUACAUAAUCAUCAUUAAUAACUUUGAUAAUACCCAUUUCACAAAGCUUUCUCAGAGAUAAUUUGAAGUCCCUGUGUAGACACUGUUGAUACAACUUCAGGUGAAAUGAUAAAUCACUUUUCAGCAAAGAGAUGAGAUCGUGUAUUCUCAAAUCUUUAUCUCAGGGAUAAGAUGCACUCUUUGCACAUGUGCUUUGACUGUUGGAAGGCCACACAAUUUCCUGGCAGAAAAUGGUAUAUUAAUAAGAUGCUCUUCGUUUUCAGAUUCUUAAAAUAAAUGGAAAAUAUUUCAGAUAAAAAGUAAUAAAUAUUAUCUGAAUAAAAGUAUUGCUUGCUGGGUAGGAACACAAACACUGAUUAUAUAGGUAGUCAAGAUUUUCCUUCUCCGACUCCUAUCUGGAGUCUAUUUUCCCAACGGAGCAUACAGAAGGUCAUCACAUAAUCUUCAAAGCUUCAGUCUAUAUGUUCUUGACAAGCAACAAAAGAGCUGACAGCUGUGAGUUACUAGGAGUCAUUACAGGCUGCUGUGUCCCUUCGCAUGUGCAUCCUUUGGAAACUUGCUGUGCUUCAUAGAAUCUGAAAUAACAGUUCUUUGGAACAUUUCUCGGACUUGCUCUAGACUGCAUUCUGCGACUGACCGUCUAAGAGCCAGCGAAGCCUCACCACAGGCCUGAAGCCCUGAAGCCUGGGAACUCCAUUUUGCAAGGCCCCUCGAGAGGCCUCUUGGCUUUCCCGAGAACGUCAAGGAGUGACCUCAAUUCCGGGACACGACAGGGGGCGGCAGCGAACUACGUUACCCGAAGGACUGUGCGGCGUGCGCAGGCAGCCAGGUGAACCAAUGAAAGCCUAGCAGAGGCGUUUAUGUGCGUGUAGGCGGGACUUCCGCCAGUGCCCAUUUGUGGCGUCAUUAUGGUUGCCUUUGGGUCUAUUCCCUGAUUUUAUGGUCCCGGAGCGCUCAGUCGGGAUUCCGGUGAUAGCGGGAAAGCGUGAUAACAGGUGUCCCGAGUGCACAGAGACGAUAGUGAGGCUCGACUGAGUAGGGCUGCAAACGCCAGUUCCCUCGUUUCCGUCCAGGUCACCCGCCGCUCCCGGGGCUGCUCUUCCCGAUGAGCUCCACUCAGGGAACAGAGAGUGAGGUGGAGGCUCGCCUGGAAUGACAGUGGAGUAGCUGGAAGCCAUGGGAGGUUGUGAAGAGAGGACGGACGGGACGGUCAUGCCCAGAGUUAAAAGUUUAAAGUAGGGAAAAGCAGGACGUGGAACGGAGGCGUGGAACCGGCGAGGAGACCACUGAAGUAGACCCUCGUUGAAUUACGGAUCCCAUGGCAGUGGCAGAAAUGUUUGAGGACCCUGCACAGGUGAGUGGAGUCUGUCUCAGGCUUGCAGCCACUCCAGUUCUCACUCGAUGGUUUCUGCAUGCUGAUAAAGGGAAUGGUGGUGUGCUGAGAUGCUUCACCUUUGCUUCUCCCUUCCAUGCAUCUGAAGACGCUGUAGUUCCACAAGAUCCAGGGUAUCAAUUCAGUCCUUCAUUAUGUGGAAUGGUUCUGACAACUAAUGGUAAGAUGUGGCAGGGUGUCCCAGGCGUAGGAUCCAGAAUGUUCAAAUGAUUGCUGGUGAGAUUUGUUUAGAGAAUUGCACAUCAUGUUAUAUCUGCUGGGAUAGAGAGCAGGGCAGGAGGUUGAGGUAUGCAGGAAUCAGCGUGUAAAGGACCAUCUGAGAUUCUGGGCCUCUAAUCUGAGGGUGGUAGAAGCAAGGGACGGUUUGAUGGGAGGAAAAAGGAGGUGAUUUGACUCAGAUAUUAAAAGGCUCCCUUUGCCUGCUGAAUAGAGGACAGAUUUGGGUUGAGGGUGGGAUCAGGGACACUAGGGACAUAGUUCCUGCAACAGUCCAGGUGGAUAUUGGUGGUGGCUGGACGAGUGGGUGGCUGUGGAAGUAGAAGGAGUGGGUAGCUUCUGGAUGUGUUUGAGCUAGUGCUGCCCAUGCUCCUUCCAGGGGAGUCAGAGAUGGCUCCAUGGUUCUGGCUUUGUUUGGAAGGAUGGAUGUUCCAACAACCAAGAUGUGGUAAAUUCUGUGAUAGGAGGAAUUUUAAUAGAGCACUUGAGGAACCAUGUUUUGGCCAAGACAAAAAUGUUCCUGACUCUGAGUGUAGGUGCCAGAUUAGCAAUUGUACACAGAGGAAUGGAGUUCAGUGGAGGUGUUCAGGAUGGAGACAUCCACUGCAUGAUACCUGGUGUGUACACGAUCCCCAGAGGUGUGGGUCAGAUUUUAGAAGAGGCAUCCUUAGGUUUUAGGGGCAGUGCAGUUAGAGAGGAAAGAAGGGACUUAGGACUUGGUCUGUCUCUUGGGCAUCUGGGUGAUGGUGGUGAGUGUCACAAAGAGGGAUGAGGAAGCAGCUAGGAGUGUCACUAGACCUGCAGUGGAGAUAGGGUUGGGGAGGGCAGUGCAGAUGGAUUUUGGGUUAGGGUGAGGUAGACAGGGAAGUCAUUCUGCUUAUGGGACAGCGUGUGCAGUGCAGAAGGAGGAGGCAGCCAAGAUCUGGAGCUCAGAGGAGGCAUGAGAGAACUCUAUCCAUGUUCUGUGCUUGACUCAGUGAUCGGUGGCAGUAUGGUGACGAGUAGGCACCAGAACCCCCAGGACCUGAUAUUUCUUCCACUUUGGGAAGUGGUUGAUGUGUGUGUGUGUGUGUGUGUGUGUGUGUGUGUGUGUGUGUGUGUGAUGGGGGUAGCACUGAUGAUCCUGGAGAGGAAAGUGUAUCAAUGAUUGUACCCAUAGAAUUUUAUUUUAUUUUUUUUUGAGACAGAGUCUCACUCUGUUGCCUGGGCUAGAGUGAGUGCCGUG
This is a non-coding RNA of Microcebus murinus (gray mouse lemur), 3234 nucleotides long. The record is from RefSeq and is a predicted model, not a curated record. Lineage: Eukaryota; Metazoa; Chordata; Mammalia; Primates; Cheirogaleidae.